This 539-nucleotide long non-coding RNA is filed under the name Nicotiana benthamiana. RNAcentral's name for it is "long non-coding RNA (NBEN_LNC039988)". Lineage: Eukaryota; Viridiplantae; Streptophyta; Magnoliopsida; Solanales; Solanaceae. The record is from RNAcentral.
AGUGGAGAUUGGGGAGCUCGGAAGGCUUUCAGCAUCAAUGAAAAAACUGGAGAAGGAACUUAAGAAUACCGACAAAUAUAAGAAUGAGCAAUACCGGAGUAAGCUUCAGAAGUCCAAUGACUUAAUCAUUGCUUCUAGUGUUGGCUUUUAUGCCAAUAGCCUGUCUUACACUUCUGUUACCCCAGAUUGGGGAGCUCGGAAGGCUUUCAGCAUCAAUGAAAAAGCUGGAGAAGGAACUUAAGAAUACCGACAAAUAUAAGGUUUGCCAAUUCCAGGCAUCAUGCAUUAUGGUUAUUUGGUGGCACGGUGGAAUUUCCAUUUGAAGAUUAUUCUACAUUCUGAUGUUUGUGAAUUUUGCAUUGUAGAAUGAGCAAUACCAGAGUAAGCUUCAGAAGUCCAAUGAGAGGUCUCUAGCACUGAUUAAAGCAGGCAUGGAUAUAGUAGUUGCUGUUGGGUUGCUGCAAUUGGCACCUAAGAAAGUCACUCCUCGUGUAACAGGAGCCUUUGGAUUUAUUACCUCGUUGAUAUCAUGUUAUCAG